AUUGAACGCUGGCGCCAGGCUUAACACAUGCAAGCCGAGCGGGGGAAGGUACUUUGCUACCGGACCUAGCGGCGGACGGGUGAGUAAUGCUAAGGAACCUGCCUAUUAGUGGGGGACAACAUCCGGAAAGGGAUGCUAAUACCGCUUACGUCCUACGGGAGAAGGCAGGGGAUCUUCGGACCUUGCGCUAAUAGAUGGGCCAAAGUCGGAUUAGCAAGUUGGUGGGGUAAAGGCCUACCAAGGCGACGAUCUGUAGCGGGUCUGAGAGGAUGAUCCGCCACACUGGGACUGAGACACGGCCCAGACUCCUACGGGAGGCAGCAGUGGGGAAUAUUGGACAAUGGGGGGAACCCUGAUCCAGCCAUGCCGCGUGUGUGAAGAAGGCCUUAUGGUUGUAAAGCACUUUAAGCGAGGAGGAGGCUACUUUAGUUAAUACCUAGAGAUAGUGGACGUUACUCGCAGAAUAAGCACCGGCUAACUCUGUGCCAGCAGCCGCGGUAA
Molecule: ribosomal RNA, 501 nt
Filed under: uncultured bacterium
Lineage: Bacteria
Description: partial 16S ribosomal RNA
Rfam family: Bacterial small subunit ribosomal RNA
Source: RNAcentral